Molecule: long non-coding RNA, 1226 nt
Filed under: Hordeum vulgare
Lineage: Eukaryota; Viridiplantae; Streptophyta; Magnoliopsida; Poales; Poaceae
Description: long non-coding RNA (HVUL_LNC013076)
Source: RNAcentral
GACGUUUGAUCAUAUCAACCUUGGAAACACUUCCAACACGUAUCGUCACCUCGCCUUUAGCUAGUCUCCAUUUAUGCCGUAGCUUUCAUUUCGUGUUACUAAUCACUUAGCAACCGAACCGGUAUCCAAUACCCUCUUGCUACUAGGAGUACUAGUAAAAGUACACAUCAACAUCAUGUAUAUCAAAUAUACUUCUUUCGACUUUUGCCAGCCUUCUUAUCUACCAAGUAUCUAGAGUUGCUCCGCCUCAGUGACCGUUCCCCUCAUAGCAGAAGCACUUAGUCCCGGGCUUGGGUUUAAUCUCGGGUCUCUUCAUUAGUGCAGCAACUGCUUUGCCGUUUCACAAAGUAUCCCUUCUAGCCCUUGCCUUUCUCGAAACUUAGUGGUUUUACUAACCAUCAAUUAUUGAUGCUCCUUCUUGAAUUCUACUCUCGCAGUGUCAAACAUCCCGAAUCGCUCAAGGAUCAUUGUAUCUAUCCUUGACAUGUUAUAGUUCAUCACGAAGCUCUCACAGCUUGGUGGCAGUGACUUUGGAGAACCAUCACUAUCUUAUCUAGAAGAUCAACUCCCACUUGAUUCAAGCGAUUGUCGUACUCAGAUAUCUGAGCACACGCUCAACGAUUGAGCUUUUCUCCUUUACUUCAUGGACAAAGAAUCUUGUCGGAGGUCUCAUACCUCUUAACAAGGGCACAAGCAUGAAAUCACAAUUUCAUCUCUUUAGAACAUCUCUUAUGUUCCGUGACGUUUCAAAACGUCUUCGGCGCCUUGCUUCUAAGCCAUUAAGUAUUUUGUACCGAACUAUCGUGUAGUCAUUAGAAACGUGUAUGUCGGAUGUUCACAACAUCUACAGACGACGCUCGAGGUGCAGCACACCGAGUGGUGCAUUAAGGACAUAAGCCUUCUGCGCAGCAACGAGGACAAUCCCCGGUUUUACAGACUCAGUCUCCAAAGUUUGCUACUAUCAACUUUCAACUAAAUUUUCUCUAGGAACAUAUAAAAACAGUAGAGCUAUAGCGCAAGCUACAUCGUAAUUCGCAAAGACCAUUAGACUAUGUUCAUGACAAUUAGUUCAAUUAAUCAUAUUACUUAAGAACUCCCACUCAAAAAGUACAUCUCUCUAGUCAUUUGAGUGGUACAUGAUCCAAAUCCRWCKAUCKCAAGUCCGAUCAUCACGUGAGUCGAGAAUAGUUUCAGUGGUAAGCAUCUCUAUGCCAAUCAUAUCAACU